Molecule: ribosomal RNA, 279 nt
Filed under: uncultured bacterium
Lineage: Bacteria
Description: partial 16S ribosomal RNA
Rfam family: Bacterial small subunit ribosomal RNA
Source: RNAcentral
UGCCAGCCGCCGCGGUAAUACGGAGGGUGCAAACGUUGCUCGGAAUCAUUGGGCGUAAAGCGCACGUAGGCGGGUAUGUAAGUCGGAUGUGAAAGCCCUGGGCUCAACCGAGGAAGUGCAUUCGAAACUGCGUAUCUUGAGUACGGGAGAGGAUUGCGGAAUUCCCGGUGUAGAGGUGAAAUUCGUAGAUAUCGGGAGGAACAUCAGAGGCGAAGGCGGCAAUCUGGACCGAUACUGACGCUGAGGUGCGAAAGCGUGGGGAGCAAACAGGAUUAGAUA